CACGUAGGGAGCAAGCGUUGUCCGGAUUUAUUGGGCGUAAAGAGCUCGUAGGCUGUUCGAUAAGUCGGGUGUGAAACCUCCAGGCUCAACCUGGAGACGCCACCCGAUACUGUCAUGACUAGAGUCCGGUAGGGGAGCGUGGAAUUCCUGGUGUAGCGGUGAAAUGCGCAGAUAUCAGGAGGAACACCAGCGGCGAAGGCGGCGCUCUGGGCCGGUACUGACGCUGAGGAGCGAAAGCGUGGGUA
RNAcentral lists this ribosomal RNA (245 nucleotides) under uncultured Aciditerrimonas sp. RNAcentral's name for it is "partial 16S ribosomal RNA". It matches the Rfam family "Bacterial small subunit ribosomal RNA", at positions 524 to 767 of the family's 1533-position model. The record is from RNAcentral. Lineage: Bacteria; Bacillati; Actinomycetota; Acidimicrobiia; Acidimicrobiales; Acidimicrobiaceae.